AGUACCGCGCUGGACAAGGUAGAGGAAGACUUCUGUCGGGUCCUCGUCCAAGCUCAUCUUCAACGCCUUGAAGGGGUAACUACGACUGGAGACACAAUAAGCGUUGGCAGAUGCGUGUGUUGUUGCUGACGCUGGUGACGGUGGUGCUGGUGUUGGUGCUGGGCUCUGCUGGCUCCGUCCCCUUCAGAGGGCGCAGGUUCUUCACCAACAGGAGGAGGAUAUCCAGGAUCAGGAAUCGUCCCGAAUGCGUCAACACUGGGCUUAGCGUGUCGUGUUAAGAGCUUCGUCCUUCAUGCAAGUCUUGGACCUUCUGAUAAUGCUUUAUGAUGGAGCCGGAACCUAUCUGAGAGGAAAACUGUGACAUUCCCUCUAUCACCCCUCUGUGAUGGGUCAUGGAUGUAUCGACGUGGCAACUUUCAGAAUGUGUUAUGGCCGCUGGUGUGUGGCAUCCAUGGUGGUUCCACGCCCUCCGUUCACGUUCAUGCCGCAAGCUCCUCUGCCUUCACCAAGUGCCUACAGCGUGUCUCGGGCAGGACACAGUGGCACCGCCCUAGCGCUGCAGCUCCUUGAUUAUAUGCCAAAGUGAUGACCGGAUAAUGCCGCGGUAAAACAACUUCUGUUUAAAUGACACUUGUUAACUUUACCCAGUAAUAAAGUAUUGUUAUUGUGCGAGCAGUACACGA
Long non-coding RNA from Procambarus clarkii (red swamp crayfish), 683 nucleotides. RefSeq lists it as uncharacterized. The record is from RefSeq and is a predicted model, not a curated record. NCBI's taxonomy places the organism in Eukaryota, Metazoa, Arthropoda, Malacostraca, Decapoda, Cambaridae.